RNAcentral lists this ribosomal RNA (497 nucleotides) under uncultured bacterium. RNAcentral describes it as "partial 16S ribosomal RNA". It matches the Rfam family "Bacterial small subunit ribosomal RNA", at positions 28 to 507 of the family's 1533-position model. The record is from RNAcentral.
GAUGAACGCUGGCGGCGUGCCUAAUACAUGCAAGUCGAGCGAACAGAUAAGGAGCUUGCUCCUUUGACGUUAGCGGCGGACGGGUGAGUAACACGUGGGUAACCUACCUAUAAGACUGGAAUAACUCCGGGAAACCGGGGCUAAUGCCGGAUAACAUUUAGAACCGCAUGGUUCUAAAGUGAAAGAUGGUUUUGCUAUCACUUAUAGAUGGACCCGCGCCGUAUUAGCUAGUUGGUAAGGUAACGGCUUACCAAGGCAACGAUACGUAGCCGACCUGAGAGGGUGAUCGGCCACACUGGAACUGAGACACGGUCCAGACUCCUACGGGAGGCAGCAGUAGGGAAUCUUCCGCAAUGGGCGAAAGCCUGACGGUGCAACGCCGCGUGAGUGAUGAAGGUCUUCGGAUCGUAAAACUCUGUUAUUAGGGAAGAACAAAUGUGUAAGUAACUGUGCACGUCUUGACGGUACCUAAUCAGAAAGCCACGGCUAACUACGUG